CAAGAGCGAUGAUGCCGGAGAUUGCUGGUAGAAACCAGGUAACUUCGGCGGAGUAGGUCCGACAAUCGGGCGGUUGAGACAA
Regulatory RNA element from Butyricicoccus pullicaecorum 1.2, 82 nucleotides. It matches the Rfam family "S10-Clostridia ribosomal protein leader". The record is from Rfam. Lineage: Bacteria; Bacillati; Bacillota; Clostridia; Eubacteriales; Butyricicoccaceae.